This 75-nucleotide transfer RNA is filed under the name Acidobacteriota bacterium. RNAcentral's name for it is "tRNA-Glu". It matches the Rfam family "tRNA". Rfam says of the family: Transfer RNA (tRNA) molecules are approximately 80 nucleotides in length. The record is from RNAcentral. Lineage: Bacteria; Pseudomonadati; Acidobacteriota. RNAcentral also lists the same sequence under 1 other name.
GGCCCCGUCGUCCAGCGGUCAGGACACCGGCCUUUCAAGCCGGGAACACGGGUUCGAGUCCCGUCGGGGUCACCA